AUUGAACGCUGGCGGAAUGCUUUACACAUGCAAGUCGAACGGCAGCACGGACUUCGGUCUGGUGGCGAGUGGCGAACGGGUGAGUAAUGUAUCGGAACGUGCCCAGUCGUGGGGGAUAACGUAGUGAAAAUUACGCUAAUACCGCAUACGAUCUAUGGAUGAAAGCGGGGGAUCGCAAGACCUCGCGCGAUUGGAGCGGCCGAUAUCAGAUUAGGUAGUUGGUGGGGGAAAGGCCCACCAAGCCAACGAUCUGUAGCUGGUCUGAGAGGACGACCAGCCACACUGGAACUGAGACACGGUCCAGACUCCUACGGGAGGCAGCAGUGGGGAAUUUUGGACAAUGGGCGAAAGCCUGAUCCAGCCAUUCCGCGUGCAGGAUGAAGGCCCUCGGGUUGUAAACUGCUUUUGUACAGAACGAAAAGGUUUCUACUAAUACUAGGGGCUCAUGACGGUACUGUAAGAAUAAGCACCGGCUAACUACGUGCCAGCCGCCGCGGUAA
RNAcentral lists this ribosomal RNA (500 nucleotides) under uncultured bacterium. Its description in RNAcentral is "partial 16S ribosomal RNA". It matches the Rfam family "Bacterial small subunit ribosomal RNA", at positions 30 to 523 of the family's 1533-position model. The record is from RNAcentral.